ACCAGUAUGGCAUAGUGGUUUGAGCAUUGGAUUAUGACUCUGGAGACCAGGGUUCAAAUCCCCACUCAGCCA
RNAcentral lists this transfer RNA (72 nucleotides) under Phrynosoma platyrhinos (Desert horned lizard). RNAcentral's name for it is "tRNA-OTHER". The record is from RNAcentral. Lineage: Eukaryota; Metazoa; Chordata; Lepidosauria; Squamata; Phrynosomatidae.